Molecule: long non-coding RNA, 2364 nt
Organism: Betta splendens (Siamese fighting fish)
Lineage: Eukaryota; Metazoa; Chordata; Actinopteri; Anabantiformes; Osphronemidae
Source: Ensembl
AUGCCUCUGGGAGCGUUUUUUUUCUGCUCCAGAAACCAGAUGGACAGGAACGGGACCUGGAAGCACACCGACAGCCGGACAAUGAGCCACAGGGAAGUGAGGCCUACAGACCUGAGGCCUAAGAAGCAGAGACUCCACGUCACCAGGCCCAGGACAAACCACAUGGCGCAAUCCUUCCACAACAAGGCUAAAGGUAGGACCUCCAAUAUGGACGGUGGGGCUCACUAUGGGGAGACUGUUGCUCAAUGUGACCUAGGCCACAGAGAGGAAAAUCCAGAGGGCUCACACAAUAACACUUACACCCACAACUCCUUACCUGAGGAGAGAGGUAGAGUUAAAAGACAAACUCAGAUAAAACAGGUGCUAGAUCCUAAUACAAGAGACCUUGCUAAAAAGUAUUUUAAACUCAUCCAAGCCAUUCAUCAUAAAAACAUUACUGACCGGGCCAUAUCCACCGGCACUCCUCCCGCAGGCAUGAUGAGGCAGGUCAGGAAGCUGUCCGGGUUCAUCAAACCAGCAAGUCCUACAGAGGAAGUUAAAAACAAAAUCACCAUUAACACUAACAAGUGGAUGGAGGAAAACCUGAUCGUUUUACGGGACCACUACGCUAACAUCAUUUCUCAAUAUAGCCUAAUAAAUAGAAACAAUGUUGCACUUCAAGUGGCAGCAAACUGGGCUGAAAAACGGUACAGGGGCAGGCUUGCUCCCACUACAGCCACGACAGUUGAGCGGGUACUGGCCGCAGCAGCAACAGCAGUGCAGAAUCCAGAUCCUCAUUACACUCCUCCUUCUGUCUUAUUGUCAAACCAGCCUUUGCUUUCCAACAGAGAUUCAGAAGAGGAACCACCAACAGUCUCCAAGCCACUGGACGUAAAGAGCAGGGAGCAAUUUCCACCGCUACCCAGGCCCAGUAGGAACUUACAAACUCUCUGUCUGGGCAAUAGGCCCACUCUGCUGCAGCAGGUGAUGGCAGCUCCACAAACUCAAAUCCAGAAUCAGCCACAAGCUGAAUCAGCCACCACAAGCACGGACACACGGUCUAACCAGACCCACUAUGUGCUGCAACAAACCUCCAAACUGACCAGGAGGAAUUUCAAGUCUCAUAAUAGCUCAGCUUUAAAGACUCUCUCCCCUUUAAAGGUGCUGGAGUCUGCUCCCUGCUCUCGACUUCCUCCUCGCCAUCACCGUCCUCCUCCACUUGCUGCCUCCUCCCCUUCGCCUGUCACCAACCUUUCUCCACAGGGCCCUGAUCAGGACCAGUUUUCAAUAUCCCAGCUGACCCUUCACUUUUCAUUAGACUCUCCUCCGGCACCGAGUGUAAUUAAUGAUCCUUCCUUUACAGAACAGACGCCAUAUCACCCCAUUAAGUCCAGUGUCUGUGAUCCCGGAGGGGAAAUUUACCAACCACAGGCAACGAAUCGUAAACAGGGCUUACAGGUACGACAGGCCAGGGACUUAACAAAUGUGGCAACAGUCACCACAGGUGACAUUGACCAGCUUUCCCCAUCCUCUGCUGACCUCUGUCCUCCAGGUCACUCAGCCGUGCCAUCCGCCCCCCUGCCAGGGAGCCAGCCGCCCAGACAUCUUGAUCUCUCCAGGCUAAAAUUAAAAAACAAAGAGGUGGGAGGAAAAAGGACGAGAAAAUGGAAAAACAUCCAAGUUGAACAAACUGGACAAAUCCACUCUGAUACCUCCAAAAACACCUCGGUAGCAGUGCGGCUGGAGUCCUCACGGCAGGGGCACUUUGGGCGGGCUGAGGACGAGGAAUGGGAGGAUUUUACGUCAGGCAGUGAGAGAGAACAGAACCGUACCUUAUUGUUUUUUCCCACCAGCCACAAGGCCCGGCCUUCACGCAAGCUGGAGGACUGGCACAUUAGGGGUAAAAAACCUGUACUGAUAUUGGGGGACUCGAACCUUAACAGGAUCCUUGAGUUUAUGCACCCAGAGGUACAAAUCGACAGCUACCCUGGUGCCAAUUUCUACCACUUUUGGAAAGUGGUACAGAAAACUCCAGCACACCCCUCUGUCAAGGUUGUGGUCUUCUCAGUGGGACUCAAUAAUAGGGACCAGGACCCUCAGAAAACAUCAAUAAAACAACUUAGGGCGUUGUAUAGGGCAUCCAGAGUGGCAUUUCCAAAUGCCAGCAUUUUUUUCCCCCUCAUUAACUACUCGCCAUCCCUCACGCAGAUACAGAAACAAAACCUGGACACCAUUAAUACGUAUAUUACUAACUACUUACCUUCAUUGCCUAGUAUCCCACAGGACCGGUUCAGAACCAGAGCAGAUAACAUCCAUUGGACCACGGCCACAGCACACAGCAUCUUCGACCUCUGGUGUCAAAGGCUGAGCUUAAAUUUACAGUAG